Molecule: microRNA precursor, 53 nt
Filed under: Ciona intestinalis (vase tunicate)
Lineage: Eukaryota; Metazoa; Chordata; Ascidiacea; Phlebobranchia; Cionidae
Description: microRNA cin-mir-4220 precursor
Source: miRBase by way of RNAcentral
UAGUGCAAUUUGUUGUAGCUUGCUGUUAAUUCAAGCUCAAUUCAAUUGCACUG